GUGAGAGUGUCGCUGUCUCCGACGCCGUAGUAGUCCAGACUGAACCAGUCCUGCAGGACGUGGCCCCGGAACUCCAGGCGCUGCAGCUCCCGGAGCAGGCCCUGCCGGUCCUCGAUCUGCUCCUUCAGGCUGCGGACCAGAAUUGCCCACGAGGAUCAACUGAGACAAUCCCUGGAUAAGCACUCUGCAAAUUGUAAAAUAUAAUAUGUGGAUUAAAUAGAUUAUGAUGA
This is a long non-coding RNA of Marmota monax (woodchuck), 230 nucleotides long. RefSeq lists it as uncharacterized. NCBI's taxonomy places the organism in Eukaryota, Metazoa, Chordata, Mammalia, Rodentia, Sciuridae. The record is from RefSeq and is a predicted model, not a curated record. The transcript has 2 exons.